RNAcentral lists this ribosomal RNA (499 nucleotides) under uncultured bacterium. RNAcentral describes it as "partial 16S ribosomal RNA". It matches the Rfam family "Bacterial small subunit ribosomal RNA", at positions 28 to 507 of the family's 1533-position model. The record is from RNAcentral.
GACGAACGCUGGCGGCGUGCUUAACACAUGCAAGUCGAACGGGUCUGCCCUGUUUUUUGCGGGGUGGGUCAGUGGCAAAGGGUGAGUAAACCGUGAGUAACCUGCCCCUCCCUUCUGGAUAACCGCCUGAAAGGGGGGCUAAUAAGGGGUGUUUUUGCUGUGCCGCAUGGUGUGGGCGGGAAAGAUUCCCUUUUGUGGUGGUUUGGUUGGGGGUGGGCUUGCGGCCUAUCAGGUUGUUGGGGGGGUGAUGGGCUGGCAAGGCUUUGACGGGUAGCCGGCCUGAGAGGGUGGGCGGUCACACUGGGACUGAGAUACGGCCCAGACUCCUGCGGGAGGCAGCAGUGGGGGGUAUUGCACAAUGGGCGGAAGCCUGAUGCAGCGACGUCGCGUGAGGGAUGGAGGCCUGCGGGUUGUGAACCUCUUUCGCCGGUGAAGAAGGUCCUGCUCUUUGUGGUGGGGUUGACGGUAGCCGGGUUAUGAAGCGCCGGCUAACUACGUG